UAGGGAAUCUUCCGCAAUGGACGAAAGUCUGACGGAGCGACGCCGCGUGAGCGAAGAAGGUCUUCGGAUCGUAAAGCUCUGUUGUUAGGGAAGAAGAAGUGCCGUUCGAACAGGGCGGCACGGUGACGGUACCUAACGAGAAAGCCCCGGCUAACUACGUGCCAGCAGCCGCGGUAAUACGUAGGGGGCGAGCGUUGUCCGGAAUUAUUGGGCGUAAAGCGCGCGCAGGCGGUCCCUUAAGUCUGAUGUGAAAGCCAACGGCUUAACCGUGGAGGGUCAUUGGAAACUGGGGGACUUGAGUGCAGAAGAGGAGAGCGGAAUGCCACGUGUAGCGGUGAGAUGCGUAGAGAUGUGGAGGAACACCAGUGGCGAAGGCGGCUCUCUGGUCUGUAACUGACGCUGAGGCGCGAAAGCGUGGGGAGCAAACAGG
Molecule: ribosomal RNA, 430 nt
Filed under: bacterium
Lineage: Bacteria
Description: partial 16S ribosomal RNA
Rfam family: Bacterial small subunit ribosomal RNA
Source: RNAcentral